UACGUAGGGGGCAAGCGUUGUCCGGAUUUAUUGGGCGUAAAGAGCGUGUAGGCGGUUAGGUAGGUCCGUUGUGAAAACUCGAGGCUCAACCUCGAGACGCCGAUGGAAACCAUCUGACUAGAGUCCGGAAGAGGAGAGUGGAAUUCCUGGUGUAGUGGUGAAAUACGUAGAUAUCUGGAGGAACACCGGUGGCGAAGGCGGCGACCUGGUCCGUAUACUGACACUCAUACACGAAAGCGUGGGGAUCAAACAGGG
RNAcentral lists this ribosomal RNA (255 nucleotides) under uncultured bacterium. Its description in RNAcentral is "partial 16S ribosomal RNA". It matches the Rfam family "Bacterial small subunit ribosomal RNA", at positions 524 to 777 of the family's 1533-position model. The record is from RNAcentral.